UAUACAGCCUUAAUAUGUAACACUCCUAUACCAUGAAAGAUGCUUUCACACAUUAGGAUGUUGCACAUAUACAUCUAAAUAUGUUGCACUCCUAGACAGAGAAGAUGGAUUCAUGGCAGAUAGGAAGAGUCAACAUAUACAGCCCAGAUAUGUUCCACUCCUACCCACUGAAUAUGGUUUCAUGGUAGAUGCACAUUAGGAUGUUUAACAUAUACAGCCGAAAUAUGUUACACUCCUAGACAAUGAAGAUGGUUUCAUGGUAGAUUGAUCACACAUCUGGAUACGUAGCAUAUAGACUAGAUAUGUUACCCUCCUAGACAAUGAAGAUGCUUUCAUGGUAUACAGCACACGAAGAUUUGUAUCAUAUAACGCCUAAAUAUGUUACACUCUUCGACAAUGAAAAUGGUUUCAUUGUAGAUAGCACAUUAGGAUGUCACAUGUAGGUA
Molecule: long non-coding RNA, 446 nt
Organism: Mytilus californianus (California mussel)
Lineage: Eukaryota; Metazoa; Mollusca; Bivalvia; Mytilida; Mytilidae
Exons: 6
Source: RefSeq, a predicted model, not a curated record